UACGGGGGGGGCUAGCGUUGUCCGGAAUCAUUGGGCGUAAAGGGCGCGUAGGCGGAAUCGUAAGUCAGAGGUGAAAACCAUAGGCUUAACUUGUGGCCUGCCUUUGAAACUGCAAUUCUUGAGUGCGGUAGAGGGAAGCUGAAUUCCUGGUGUAGCGGUGAAAUGCGUAGAUAUCAGGAAGAACACCGGUAGCGAAGGCGGCUUCCUGGGCCGUAACUGACGCUGAGGCGCGAAAGUGUGGGGAGCAAACAGG
This 253-nucleotide ribosomal RNA is filed under the name uncultured bacterium. RNAcentral's name for it is "partial 16S ribosomal RNA". It matches the Rfam family "Bacterial small subunit ribosomal RNA", at positions 524 to 776 of the family's 1533-position model. The record is from RNAcentral.